AUGUUUACUUGCAGUGUCUGAAGAGCUCAUCUGGAAUCCCUAAAGGAGAGACCUUAACAUCUUUACUUUCAGCAGAGGUUGUGGAAGAAAAAAACAAUCCAGUACAGCUCACCUCUGUUUUCUUGAAAAUAAAUCCUGGAAGAUGGUCAUAGGCUGAGAUGAAAGGGACUCUUCUAAGACCUCGGAUGUUCUAAAUGACUUUAAUCCUUGGAAAAUGUGAGCUUUGUCCAAAGACACUGAACAUUUGAUUGCUGAAAUUGGCAUACAGAGAG
Danio rerio (zebrafish) is the source of this 272-nucleotide non-coding RNA. The record is from Ensembl. NCBI's taxonomy places the organism in Eukaryota, Metazoa, Chordata, Actinopteri, Cypriniformes, Danionidae.